This 433-nucleotide ribosomal RNA is filed under the name uncultured bacterium. RNAcentral's name for it is "partial 16S ribosomal RNA". It matches the Rfam family "Bacterial small subunit ribosomal RNA", at positions 29 to 507 of the family's 1533-position model. The record is from RNAcentral.
AACGAACGCUGGCGGCAUGCCUAACACAUGCCAGUCGAACGAGACCUUCGGGUCUAGUGGCGCACGGGUGCGUAACGCGUGGGAAUCUGCCCUUGGGUUCGGAAUAACAGUUGGAAACGACUGCUAAUACCGGAUGAUGACGUAAGUCCAAAGAUUUAUCGCCCAAGGAUGAGCCCGCGUAGGAUUAGCUAGUUGGUGAGGUAAAGGCUCACCAAGGCGACGAUCCUUAGCUGGUCUGAGAGGAUGAUCAGCCACACUGGGACUGAGACACGGCCCAGACUCCUACGGGAGGCAGCAGUGGGGAAUAUUGGACAAUGGGCGAAAGCCUGAUCCAGCAAUGCCGCGUGAGUGAUGAAGGCCUUAGGGUUGUAAAGCUCCUUUACCCGGGAUGAUAAUGACAGUACCGGGAGAAUAAGCUCCGGCUAACUCCGUG